GGGGCUGUAGCUCAUUGGGAGAGUGCUUGCCUUCUGUGCAUGAUGCCCUGGGUCAAUCCCCAGUACUGUCA
Molecule: transfer RNA, 71 nt
Filed under: Rattus norvegicus (Norway rat)
Lineage: Eukaryota; Metazoa; Chordata; Mammalia; Rodentia; Muridae
Rfam family: tRNA
About the family: Transfer RNA (tRNA) molecules are approximately 80 nucleotides in length.
Source: Rfam by way of RNAcentral